This 721-nucleotide ribosomal RNA is filed under the name Rhodocyclales bacterium TP411. RNAcentral describes it as "bacterial SSU rRNA". It matches the Rfam family "Bacterial small subunit ribosomal RNA", at positions 383 to 1093 of the family's 1533-position model. Lineage: Bacteria; Pseudomonadati; Pseudomonadota; Betaproteobacteria; Rhodocyclales. The record is from RNAcentral.
CUGAUCCAGCCAUGCCGCGUGAGUGAAGAAGGCCUUCGGGUUGUAAAGCUCUUUCAGACGGAAAGAAAACUUCGAGGCUAAUACCUUCGGAGGAUGACGGUACCGUAAGAAGAAGCACCGGCUAACUACGUGCCAGCAGCCGCGGUAAUACGUAGGGUGCGAGCGUUAAUCGGAAUUACUGGGCGUAAAGCGUGCGCAGGCGGUUUUGUAAGACAGCUGUGAAAUCCCCGGGCUCAACCUGGGAACUGCGGUUGUGACUGCAAGACUUGAGUACGGCAGAGGGGGGUGGAAUUCCUGGUGUAGCAGUGAAAUGCGUAGAUAUCAGGAGGAACACCGAUGGCGAAGGCAGCCCCCUGGGCCUGUACUGACGCUCAUGCACGAAAGCGUGGGGAGCAAACAGGAUUAGAUACCCUGGUAGUCCACGCCCUAAACGAUGUCGACUAGUUGUUCGGAGGGUAAAACCUUUGAGUAACGUAGCUAACGCGUGAAGUCGACCGCCUGGGGAGUACGGCCGCAAGGUUAAAACUCAAAGGAAUUGACGGGGACCCGCACAAGCGGUGGAUGAUGUGGAUUAAUUCGAUGCAACGCGAAAAACCUUACCUACCCUUGACAUGUCAGGAACUUUCCAGAGAUGGAUUGGUGCCCGAAAGGGAACCUGAACACAGGUGCUGCAUGGCUGUCGUCAGCUCGUGUCGAGAGAAGUUGGGUUAAGUCCCGCAAC